GUUCUCCUUCUCCUUCACAAGUUCAACACACACAGUUUCCUUUGUUAUUCCUGAAAGAAAGAAACGAACGAAAACACAAGAAAGAAAGGGCUAGGAAGAAACGGGGGGGAAACAGAGGGAGGCAGGGGAGGAAGAGAGGCAUGGCUAGCAACGGUGGGCAUUGCCGUCGCCGCCGAGUUGCCAGCUGCCGCCGCCAUGGCACACCGAAGGAAGAACGGGAGUGAGGGAGCUUAGUCGCGGGAAGAGGAGGCGCGGGUCUGACUCGUCCCCGCAGAUCCGCCCGUCCCGACCCGUCGCCGUCGCGAGGAGGAGAAGUCCCUGUCGCCGUUCUGUGUGGCCGCGCCAUCAUUGUUGUUCUCGGAGAUCCACGACCAGAGGGUGCCCGCGCGGGGGUGGAGGACGUUGCUGCUGUCGCCGCUGUUAGAGCCACCGCCAGCUGCGUCACCACCGCGCCUUGCCUCGCCGCCGUUGACCUCUCCAUAAUCCACUGCCGCCGGAGCUCAUGCCAUCGCCGAUUGAGCACCACGAAGAACAGCGCCGCGUGAAUCAGAGAAAGGAGAUGCCUUUCUGCCUCUGCUCCUGGGUUUUGGAUUCUGACCAGGCACCACUACUGCUGUGGAGUUAGUGUUGCUCUGGUCUUGUCCUGACUCCAUUUGGAAUCGCUGCUGUUGGUGAGUUGCAUUGCCACUGCCCUUACCGGAGGUAGUUGCUGGCUGCAUUUGGAGAUUUCUAUUGCAACUUGCGUUUGUUCUGGAGCUGUUUCAUCGGUUGCUGGAACUACUAACGAAGCAGGCUGAGUCACGGCGAUUCUGGCUGCCAAGGGCGGUUCUGUGGCUGUUGGAACCACCGUUGAGGCUUCUGUCCUUUGGUUCAAACGGAUUAAGUUAUCGGAGCCACAUGUUGCGCGUAAGGGCUUAUAUUUGCUGCUGCGAAAGUGAACAAAGAUGUGAUGCAAGCUGCCGGUAACCUUGGGUUGAUAGAGGUUUCCGGUGGCGCGUUUGGGUUAUGGUUGGCGUUUUGAGGAUUUGGGCGCAGAAGUUAUGAAGAGUUUAAUUAUUUGUUAUUGAGAUGCUCUGUAUUGCUUUAGAUUAUUAUUUUUGUACCCUCGCCUUUAUCUUGAUAUAUUUUGUAAGAGGGAUAGGGAUUGUAUUAGUUAAUGUUUGUAGUAUUAAUUAUAUAUAUAUAUAUGUAUGUAUGUAUAUACAUGGAUGUACUCUUUACGAGUUUAUUAUAAGUUGUAUGAUACCUAUGGAUGUACGUUAUCGAAUGGAGUAUCUUGGGAACGAUAUUGUGGUAAAAAAUUUUAAACAGUCCCAUAUUUUAGUAUUAAAUAGUAUAAGUGUCGUCGUAAUGUCCGAGCUAUCAGAGUUGCGC
Molecule: long non-coding RNA, 1374 nt
Organism: Arachis stenosperma
Lineage: Eukaryota; Viridiplantae; Streptophyta; Magnoliopsida; Fabales; Fabaceae
Exons: 4
Source: RefSeq, a predicted model, not a curated record